Molecule: RNA transcript, 5775 nt
Organism: Leguminivora glycinivorella
Lineage: Eukaryota; Metazoa; Arthropoda; Insecta; Lepidoptera; Tortricidae
Gene: how
Gene name: protein held out wings
Exons: 8
Source: RefSeq, a predicted model, not a curated record
UUCGUCAUUUAGUGGUGUUCGAAACGUUGAUGUGUGUGGAAGUGAAGUUUAACUUUUCUAACAUACUUAUCUCAAUAAAAUAACAAUAACCUAGUAACAAAAGUACAAUCUCUUUUUUCAACGUGCUUGAAUAGACAUUUUACGUGACAUUAGUUGUUGAAAAAACGAAAAAUGUGUGAUAAUAACAAUCCUUCGACGCAAAGUAUAGCGGACUACUUAGCUCAGUUGCUCAAAGACAGGAAGCAACUGGCCGCGUUCCCGAAUGUUUUCAUGCACAUGGAACGACUUCUGGAUGAAGAAAUAGCAAAAGUACGAGCGAGUCUAUUUCAAAUAAAUGGCGUUAAGAAGGAACCACUUAUUCUACCAGAAGCAGAAGGCAUGGUCACAACACUCACAGAAAAAGUAUACGUGCCAGUCAAAGAACAUCCAGAUUUCAACUUCGUGGGAAGGAUUCUGGGGCCCAGAGGUAUGACAGCUAAGCAGCUAGAGCAGGAGACGGGCUGCAAAAUCAUGGUCAGAGGCAAGGGGUCCAUGAGAGACAAGAAGAAGGUGAGCAUUACUGAAGACGCGAACAGGGGCAAGCCCAACUGGGAGCACCUGGCGGACGACCUGCACGUGCUGCUGACGGUGGAAGACACCGAGAACAGGGCCAAGCUGAAGCUCGCCAGGGCCGUAGAGGAGGUCAAGCGCCUACUUAUUCCCCAAGCGGACGGCGAAGAUGAAUUGAAGAAACGCCAAUUAAUGGAAUUGGCCAUCAUCAACGGCACCUACCGCGACUCUAGCGCGAAAGCCGUCGUGCCUGUCAACGGUCAGUGCCUCAUAACGGACGAGGAAUGGCGUCGCGUCGCCGCCGCCGCGGCCGAGACGCAGCGACUGCUGGCGCCAGGAGGUGGGGUGGGCGGCGUCGCUCUGCGCACGCAGGCCCCGCUCGGGGCGCCUCUGAUUCUGUCCCCGAGGAUGUCGGCAGGCCCCGGCGCCCAGGCUGGGCUCCUGAACGGCACCGGCGCGGGCGCCGCGGCCGGCCUGCUGUCCCCGGGCGAACCGGCGCACCAGCUGAUCUACGCGUCCCCCUACGCCGACUACGCUAACUACGCGGCCCUCACCGCCGCCGCCGCCAACCCGCUACUCACUGCGGAGUACGCCACUACUGACCAUACGGCGUCGAGAUACCUACUUGCUGGCUUUUGACAUUGGCCGCAAACGCAUCAUCAGUCCGCCAUAAGAUACGACCGCCACGCGACGUAUCGACCUCCGCAUCAUUAUUGACGUCCUUUGUAAACACCACUUGUCCCAGGACGCACUUUACAGUCAUUUAAAGCCAUGAUCAAUCUAGGUUAAGCUAUCUGUUAAGCAAAACACUACAACACAAUCAUUUUGUACCUAUGAUGAUGUUAUAACUAUGUCAAGUUAAGAAAGCUUCGUUUCUUUCACGGCUGUUUGUACCAGUUUUACAAAAGGUAUUUUACGUAUUUGAAAAAAACAGAGAUUUAUUUAUUUAUAUACAUUAUGAAGAUUUUUUGAAAUACCUAUUUACAGAUUAAUAUAUUUCAAUUAUUUAUUAUUUAAUAUUUACGUUUUUACAUACUCGACUUGUUAGGAUAGAUGUAUGGCAGUUGAAGUAACUGUUUUAAAAAUAGACAAUACUUAAUUUUACGAAUAAGUUGAACUGCCAACAAAAAUCUUUUAGUUACCGAUGUAUCUUAACAAAGAAGUAGAGUUUUUAUAUUUAUUUGUUUUUUAUGUUGUUUUUUUUUUAAAUAUGAUAGUCAUAAUAAAGCCGGUCAUUUUAUCAUCUUGUGAUAACCCUUGCUUGUAACACCACUAAUUAUAUUAACAUACCUACUGUAAUGUUGAUACGUAUCCAAUUUCUUUGAGUUUUAGACUACUACUAAUACAUGUUUUUCUGCCACGACUUUAGUCUCACUCUAGUGCCACGGUCAUGCAUGCUGUUUUUGUCGUGUCUAUACUCUGCUCGACCCAUACUCACUACUUAUUUCUGAAACUCAGAAUAAGUUACAAAUAAGCAUCCGCUAAUUACAAGCAAAAGGGACCAAAAUAUGUUAUUUGAUUUUAUUUACAGAACAAUAUCUUAAUUUUAACUUUAUAACACACUUACAAUUUAAUAAUACGAACAUUUUACAUUUCGAUCAAAAAUGAACAACAUUCUAGGCGGUUCUAAAUGUUAUAAAAUGAUGUCGUAAUUUAUUAAUUUAUUAGCCAUACUUAUAUUUAUAAACAUACCAUAGGUUAAGUAUUAUUAUCUUUUAAAGAUUUAGAUAGGAUAAAAAGAGUGAGCUUUAUGAAAAUAUUAUAUCCGUAUUUUGUGUAGGUUUAUAUGUAAUACAGUUGAUUGUAGAGUCAAUUUAUUUUAUUUAAAAUGAAAUUACGAAGCCAGCCAUUACCUGUACCUUGACCGGGAUACUUUUACCCGUGAUUUUAUUAUUUUAUUUCCAAAGCACUAAAAUAAUAGGUAAUCUGUAGGCGUAGGCAUAAUAUUAUGAUAUAAAUAAAAUAGGAUUACUGCCAAACAAAAGCUUCGAUAAAAAUAGUAUUAUGUAUCUAGUUGACAAUGACGAGUAUUUGGCAGUGAUAGAUAGCUAUCGGAAAAGUUUAGCAUAGGUUUAUUUGAAUAUAGAAUAAUGAGAUUUUCUUUUCAGCAUUUAAAAUACGCAGAGCUUGAACCACUGAUUUAAUUCGACAAUUAUUAAAUCAUCGCUAAUGACCUUAAAUGUCUUUAAUAAUGUGUGUUAUAAAAAUAUUAGUCUUGGAAAUCCUAUAUAUGCCUUCCUGAUACAAGUAAAACCUUAUAUAUGUUUCGUAAUAAUAAAAAUCAUAUUUCAAGCUCUGAUGUAAUAAUGGUGACACAGAUGAUUUAUAUGCAUAUGCCGCUAGGUGUCGUGCGGCGGGCGGGUCGGCUCGCGCAAGUGAGGGAGCACCCUUACCAACGCACUGCCUUACCGGCGCCUUAAUUCCCGCCAAAACGCUCUCACGCCGCCAUUUUGUUCACAAGGAGAGUGCUAACGGCGCAGAGGGACUAACCGGAGCCGCGGCCGGUGCUGCCGCCCUCGCCGCGUAACAUUAUCAUCGGAACAUCGUCCACCAUGUAGCUAUAGCUGUUGGGCCUUUCACGUUAACAUAUACUAUGUAUUAUAAUAGUCUAACUAUUAACAUUUAUCUGCCUGUUAUGUUUAUAACAUGAUGAACUUUAUUAACAUUUUUAAAAUGGCACACGCCGUCGACUAUAUUUACUAUUUCUGUAACUUAAUUGUAUUUUUGUUGUCGCUUGAAUGUAUUGUUGUUUAAGCACGAUGUGUUUUAGGCUGCCCAGUACUUGCGGUGCUAAAUUUGUUGACUGGCAAACCGGAGACGCCUCAGGUAUUGUGUCACUAAUUGACUUAUUUCUAUGCAUUUUACUAUACACUUACUUUUUGAAGACUGUCGCGUAUUUUGUAUUUUGAAACUAAUUUAGCACCGUUUAUUUUUCACUAUUGAAGUAAAAAUAUGACUCAGAAUCACAAGGUACUUGUAUCUUGAAAUUAAGUAUUCAGAAUGAACCUAAUUACUUAGGUACAAUGCCAUUAUUAUUCUACUUGGGAAUAAAAAUGGAUAGCCACUAACGGAGUGAAAUAAAUAAGUAAAUUGAGAUUGCCUUUUUCUGCAGUCCGGUUGGCGUGCGCCAAUCAGAACAGAUACUCAGAUGUUUCUAAUUGGCUAACGCAAAAGCUAUAAGUAGGUAUAUCCGCUUAAAGUGAAUCAAAAUAAUUAUAUUAUAACUAUUGGUGUGACUUCAUGGCGGAACGAAGACAGAUUUACGUCAAAACUCUAAAGGUAAAUGAUGCUCUUGCUAGCGUUUCUUUUAAUACGUUUUAUUGCUUUGCAUUAUAAAUAUUAUAAUUAUUUAAAAUGUUGGACUGAUAUUCAAUUUAUAGUCUAAUAAUAUAGGUGAUUUUCACAUACUUAUUGACCUAACAUUUUUGGCAAUCAAACUAUAUCUAUCUUUAAAACCAAAGACUAAUAUUAUACUGGUAUUGAUUUUGAUAAAUAUUUUCUAAUUGAGAAAGCUAUAUAAAAAGUCUUCCUUGUUACAUUUGAAUAUAUUGGUCAAUAAGUAUAUGAAUCGAUGGUUUGACAUUUAUCUUUAGAGAUAUGCAUAGGAUUGUAUUUUAUAUAAUAGUAGUGCUUAAAUAUUUAAAGAUAACCCGUUAUAUCUGCGCAUCCCAAGUGCCUUAGUUAAAUGUAUAAUGUUCUUUGGGGUUAUAUAUAAAAUGUUAUUAUAUAACUUAGUUAAGUUAGAGGAGAUUAAAUUAUUGUUAACUUUGCUAUGUUUAUCGUUAAUCUGCAGUUUUGGAUCUAGAUUUUAUAUAAAUAUAGUCGAGCGUCAUACUCUAGUGUUGGAAGCAUAUAACUUAUCGACCUUAUAGUAAGUGCCUCCUAAUUAUCUCCGGUAAGAAUCUCUUAUUUACCCGUUGAAGGAUUAAUCUCCAUUUUAUCUUUUUAUAUGUGUAGCUUACUCAUAAAGUUAAUACGUUUAUUCUUACAUAUAUAGAAAACUUAUCAGUUGCUGUAGCAAUAUUUUUCAAAAAUAGGUAGUGCAAUAGAAAUGUUAUUUCUUCUUAAUAUUUUAUUAUUAAAAUCUCAAAUAUGAAAAUGUUGAGUAGAUAUAAUUAUAAAAAUAUUUCAUAGAGAUCUGAUAAUGAGAUUACUACGAAUAAUGGAUUCGUCGCUAAAAAGAAAAACUUGAUGAUUUACUUCAAACAGCAAAUUGGCUUCAAUGAAUUAUAACUGCUAAAAUAUGCUAUAAAAAUAGACAUAACCUCAAUUAAUAUACCUACCUUUUGAAGUUGUUAACACUCCGUCCAUGGAUACAUUAUUUUAAGUACUUAAUUCGUUGGUCUCGUGAAUAGUUAAGAACGGAUCCGUUUGGGCAUCGAGAUCAUACAAUUGUGUUAACACUUAUUCUUAAUAAUAGUCAUACGUAUUUUAUAGAAUAGGUAUUUUCCUUUCAUAAACUCCUGAAAUUAAUUAGAAAAAUAUCAAACACGGUAAUAUUAUUCAAGAUGUUAUUAGGAUCAAAAGUAAAAAAAAAACAGUCUCUAAAAAUAUAAAAGUAUACCAUUAAAGUGUACCAUUGAAACAAUGUAAUUAAACAUUCUACAUGUUCUUGUUCGUAACCUUUUACAUAGAAUUUAUUGUAUGUGAGUGCCUUAUAAUGUGUACAAAAUAGCACAGCUUAUACAAAUGACGCAUUUACCGUGGAAUUAUAAAAACCAAUGCCAUAUACCGGUGAAACAUGGAAUGGAAUAGGAAACGUAGCUACAUCAAGUAAGAUUGUUGAUCAAGUAAAGUAGGUAAUAUCGUACAAAGUAUAAAUAAUCGUUCUGCUUAUAGUUAGUUAUAGGUUAUUUAUUGUGUUUCAUUGCGAUAACAAUAUAAUUUGUUUCUUGAAACAUGUCUAGUGCCAUCAUCAGACGUCGGCGAAGGGCUUCUACAUGUUAUUAUUUUUUGUUUAAAUUUGUACUUAUUUUACCUACAUUAACGGCAAUUCACAAAUCAAGUGCCUUAAAUGAACUUUGUACAUAUUUAUAUAAUAAUUAUUUUUCAAUAAAGUAUUAUAACGAAAAAUAAUAAAUAUCUUAUAUACUUAUACACUUAUGUAAUUGUUUUCCAAAAACAAAAUAAAGAAUACUUUUAUUACUUUUAGUUAAGUGAGAUUGUGCAUAUGUCUGUUUUGAUGUGUGUAAUAUUGAUUUGGCAUUAGUAAAUAUUUGGAUAAUG